Acanthosepion pharaonis is the source of this 112-nucleotide non-coding RNA. The record is from the annotation of a GenBank genome assembly. Lineage: Eukaryota; Metazoa; Mollusca; Cephalopoda; Sepiida; Sepiidae.
UACGGCCACAUCACUUUGAAAAACCGGUUUCCGUACGACCACCAAAUUUAUGCAACAUUGAGCUUGAUUAGUACCUAGAUGGGUGAUCGCUUGAGAAUACCAGAUGCAGUAA